Molecule: microRNA, 23 nt
Filed under: Ananas comosus (pineapple)
Lineage: Eukaryota; Viridiplantae; Streptophyta; Magnoliopsida; Poales; Bromeliaceae
Description: microRNA s0666_c88a
Source: RNAcentral
CAACCGGCUAGAGAGAGAGAGAC